UGGGGAAUAUUGCGCAAUGGGCGAAAGCCUGACGCAGCGACGCCUCGUGAGGGAUGAAGGUCUUCGGAUCGUAAACCUCUGUCAAGAGGGAAGAAACCUUUGGAUUCAAACAGGGUCUAAAGCUGAUGGUACCUCUAAAGGAAGCACCGGCUAACUCCGUGCCAGCAGCCGCGGUACUACGGAGGGUGCAAGCGUUAAUCGGAAUCACUGGGCGUAAAGCGCUCGUAGGCUGUUUGGUAAGUCAGACGUGAAAGCCCACGGCGUAACCGUGGAACUGCGUUUGAUACUGCCAGACGUGAGUGUCGGAGAGGGUGGCGGAAUUCCGGGUGUAGGAGUGAAAUCCGUAGAUAGCCGGAGGAACACCAGUGGCGAAGGCGGCCACCUGGACGACAACUGACGCUGAGGAGCGAAAGCGUGGGUAGCAAACA
RNAcentral lists this ribosomal RNA (428 nucleotides) under uncultured prokaryote. RNAcentral's name for it is "bacterial SSU rRNA". It matches the Rfam family "Bacterial small subunit ribosomal RNA", at positions 355 to 774 of the family's 1533-position model. The record is from RNAcentral.